This 2934-nucleotide ribosomal RNA is filed under the name Escherichia coli ATCC 8739. RNAcentral's name for it is "23S ribosomal RNA". It matches the Rfam family "Bacterial large subunit ribosomal RNA". Lineage: Bacteria; Pseudomonadati; Pseudomonadota; Gammaproteobacteria; Enterobacterales; Enterobacteriaceae. The record is from RNAcentral.
GGGUUGUGAGGUUAAGCGACUAAGCGUACACGGUGGAUGCCCUGGCAGUCAGAGGCGAUGAAGGACGUGCUAAUCUGCGAUAAGCGUCGGUAAGGUGAUAUGAACCGUUAUAACCGGCGAUUUCCGAAUGGGGAAACCCAGUGUGAUUCGUCACACUAUCAUUAACUGAAUCCAUAGGUUAAUGAGGCGAACCGGGGGAACUGAAACAUCUAAGUACCCCGAGGAAAAGAAAUCAACCGAGAUUCCCCCAGUAGCGGCGAGCGAACGGGGAGCAGCCCAGAGCCUGAAUCAGUGUGUGUGUUAGUGGAAGCGUCUGGAAAGGCGCGCGAUACAGGGUGACAGCCCCGUACACAAAAAUGCACAUGCUGUGAGCUCGAUGAGUAGGGCGGGACACGUGGUAUCCUGUCUGAAUAUGGGGGGACCAUCCUCCAAGGCUAAAUACUCCUGACUGACCGAUAGUGAACCAGUACCGUGAGGGAAAGGCGAAAAGAACCCCGGCGAGGGGAGUGAAAAAGAACCUGAAACCGUGUACGUACAAGCAGUGGGAGCACAGAGCAAUCUGUGUGACUGCGUACCUUUUGUAUAAUGGGUCAGCGACUUAUAUUCUGUAGCAAGGUUAACCGAAUAGGGGAGCCGAAGGGAAACCGAGUCUUAACUGGGCGUUAAGUUGCAGGGUAUAGACCCGAAACCCGGUGAUCUAGCCAUGGGCAGGUUGAAGGUUGGGUAACACUAACUGGAGGACCGAACCGACUAAUGUUGAAAAAUUAGCGGAUGACUUGUGGCUGGGGGUGAAAGGCCAAUCAAACCGGGAGAUAGCUGGUUCUCCCCGAAAGCUAUUUAGGUAGCGCCUCGUGAAUUCAUCUCCGGGGGUAGAGCACUGUUUCGGCAAGGGGGUCAUCCCGACUUACCAACCCGAUGCAAACUGCGAAUACCGGAGAAUGUUAUCACGGGAGACACACGGCGGGUGCUAACGUCCGUCGUGAAGAGGGAAACAACCCAGACCGCCAGCUAAGGUCCCAAAGUCAUGGUUAAGUGGGAAACGAUGUGGGAAGGCCCAGACAGCCAGGAUGUUGGCUUAGAAGCAGCCAUCAUUUAAAGAAAGCGUAAUAGCUCACUGGUCGAGUCGGCCUGCGCGGAAGAUGUAACGGGGCUAAACCAUGCACCGAAGCUGCGGCAGCGACGCUUAUGCGUUGUUGGGUAGGGGAGCGUUCUGUAAGCCUGCGAAGGUGUGCUGUGAGGCAUGCUGGAGGUAUCAGAAGUGCGAAUGCUGACAUAAGUAACGAUAAAGCGGGUGAAAAGCCCGCUCGCCGGAAGACCAAGGGUUCCUGUCCAACGUUAAUCGGGGCAGGGUGAGUCGACCCCUAAGGCGAGGCCGAAAGGCGUAGUCGAUGGGAAACAGGUUAAUAUUCCUGUACUUGGUGUUACUGCGAAGGGGGGACGGAGAAGGCUAUGUUGGCCGGGCGACGGUUGUCCCGGUUUAAGCGUGUAGGCUGGUUUUCCAGGCAAAUCCGGAAAAUCAAGGCUGAGGCGUGAUGACGAGGCACUACGGUGCUGAAGCAACAAAUGCCCUGCUUCCAGGAAAAGCCUCUAAGCAUCAGGUAACAUCAAAUCGUACCCCAAACCGACACAGGUGGUCAGGUAGAGAAUACCAAGGCGCUUGAGAGAACUCGGGUGAAGGAACUAGGCAAAAUGGUGCCGUAACUUCGGGAGAAGGCACGCUGAUAUGUAGGUGAAGUCCCUCGCGGAUGGAGCUGAAAUCAGUCGAAGAUACCAGCUGGCUGCAACUGUUUAUUAAAAACACAGCACUGUGCAAACACGAAAGUGGACGUAUACGGUGUGACGCCUGCCCGGUGCCGGAAGGUUAAUUGAUGGGGUUAGCGGUAACGCGAAGCUCUUGAUCGAAGCCCCGGUAAACGGCGGCCGUAACUAUAACGGUCCUAAGGUAGCGAAAUUCCUUGUCGGGUAAGUUCCGACCUGCACGAAUGGCGUAAUGAUGGCCAGGCUGUCUCCACCCGAGACUCAGUGAAAUUGAACUCGCUGUGAAGAUGCAGUGUACCCGCGGCAAGACGGAAAGACCCCGUGAACCUUUACUAUAGCUUGACACUGAACAUUGAGCCUUGAUGUGUAGGAUAGGUGGGAGGCUUUGAAGUGUGGACGCCAGUCUGCAUGGAGCCGGCCUUGAAAUACCACCCUUUAAUGUUUGAUGUUCUAACGUUGGCCCCUGAUCGGGGUUGCGGACAGUGUCUGGUGGGUAGUUUGACUGGGGCGGUCUCCUCCUAAAGAGUAACGGAGGAGCACGAAGGUUGGCUAAUCCUGGUCGGACAUCAGGAGGUUAGUGCAAUGGCAUAAGCCAGCUUGACUGCGAGCGUGACGGCGCGAGCAGGUGCGAAAGCAGGUCAUAGUGAUCCGGUGGUUCUGAAUGGAAGGGCCAUCGCUCAACGGAUAAAAGGUACUCCGGGGAUAACAGGCUGAUACCGCCCAAGAGUUCAUAUCGACGGCGGUGUUUGGCACCUCGAUGUCGGCUCAUCACAUCCUGGGGCUGAAGUAGGUCCCAAGGGUAUGGCUGUUCGCCAUUUAAAGUGGUACGCGAGCUGGGUUUAGAACGUCGUGAGACAGUUCGGUCCCUAUCUGCCGUGGGCGCUGGAGAACUGAGGGGGGCUGCUCCUAGUACGAGAGGACCGGAGUGGACGCAUCACUGGUGUUCGGGUUGUCAUGCCAAUGGCACUGCCCGGUAGCUAAAUGCGGAAGAGAUAAGUGCUGAAAGCAUCUAAGCACGAAACUUGCCCCGAGAUGAGUUCUCCCUGACUCCUUGAGAGUCCUGAAGGAACGUUGAAGACGACGACGUUGAUAGGCCGGGUGUGUAAGCGCAGCGAUGCGUUGAGCUAACCGGUACUAAUGAACCGUGAGGCUUAACCUUACAACGCCGAAGCUGUU